This is a long non-coding RNA of Manis javanica (Malayan pangolin), 1031 nucleotides long. RefSeq lists it as uncharacterized. The record is from RefSeq and is a predicted model, not a curated record. NCBI's taxonomy places the organism in Eukaryota, Metazoa, Chordata, Mammalia, Pholidota, Manidae.
UGACCUUCCCGUGGUCGGGGGUAUCCGGCGCUGAACUUUGAAUCCUCUGUGUGUGUUCUCGGUCUCACUUGGGUAAAUUUAGGAGUCUGCAAAGAGCCGUUAUGGUUAAUCACAGUGGUCCAUCCUCCAGGCUUCAUUUUCUCCUUGUGGAGGUGAUCGCCAAUGAUAGUUCCGUUCUCCUCUGCUUGCACAGGCCACACUGCAUGCCCACACUGCAGCAGGGGUCGGCACAGCGGGCUGUCCCUCGCGCUGAGCACAGCACCUCUAUCUCAGGCUUGUGACUUCCAGGGACAACGGGACUUUAUAAAUCCUGGUUGGGUUUCCUCUUUGUUGUUUCUUAUUAAAACUAAAGCUGUAAAUUGUGUUAAAUAUUGCUCAGAACCUAUUAAAUAGACCUUUUUCCUUUUUUUUUUCUUUUAGGGAUUUCCUAGGUUGUUGGGGUCAUUACCUUGCAUUCCUCUAGUAGCAGAUACACUACUUUCUUUGUCCUUUUGGGCUGCUUUAGCGAAGUACCACCGAUCUGGUGGCCUAUAAACAAUGGAAAUUUAUUUCUCACAGAUACGGAGGGUUUAAUUCAAGAUCAGGGUGCCACCAUGGGUGAGUGAGGGCCCACUUCCUGAAAGGAAAUGAGAGAACCAAGCAAGACUUGACCAAAGUGACUCCAUCUCAAGAGGCUAAAACUAACCCCAAGUCAGUGUCACAGUCAGUGUCACAAGUCAGUUACUAAGAAAAACCACAAACUUACCGAAAAACCCCCUCUUGAAAGGCAUUACACAAACAGAAAAAAGGGGAACUAAUCGUGGCGACCCCCCAAACGACCAAAUCAGCUUGAGACAAACCAGCCCUAGUUAAAGGUCAACCUAUCCCAGUUUUGCCUGGAAGGAAACUCCCUAACUGCUUCUCCUGUGUGUAUAAAAAUCCUGCUAAAACAUUCACAGGGGCUCCCGAACCAAGUCCCGCUGCGUCGGGCCGGUUGGGUGCCCAAGCUCGAGCUUGUAUUGCUUUAAUAAAGGCUCUUUGUCUUUACAUGC